GUCUACGGCCAUCUGCAUACCACCCUGAACGCGUCCAAUCUUGUCUGAUCUCAGAAGCUAAGCAGGGUCAGGCCUGGUUAGUACUUGGAUGGGAGACCACCUGGGAAUACCGGGUGCUGUAGGCU
Molecule: ribosomal RNA, 125 nt
Organism: Nomascus leucogenys (northern white-cheeked gibbon)
Lineage: Eukaryota; Metazoa; Chordata; Mammalia; Primates; Hylobatidae
Source: Ensembl